GACGAACGCUGGCGGCGUGCUUAACACAUGCAAGUCGAACGGUGAUCUUGAGAGCUUGCUCUUGGGUGAUCAGUGGCGAACGGGUGAGUAACACGUGAGUAACCUGCCCCUGACUCUGGAAUAACUUCGGGAAACCGAAGCUAAUACCGGAUAUGACACAGAGCCGCAUGGUUUCUGUGUGGAAAGUUUUUCGGUGGGGAUGGACUCGCGGCCUAUCAGCUUGUUGGUGAGGUAAUGGCUCACCAAGGCGACGACGGGUAGCCGGCCUGAGAGGGCGACCGGCCACACUGGGACUGAGACACGGCCCAGACUCCUACGGGAGGCAGCAGUGGGGAAUAUUGCACAAUGGGCGAAAGCCUGAUGCAGCGACGCCGCGUGAGGGAUGAAGGCCUUCGGGUUGUAAACCUCUUUCAGUAGGGACGAAGCGAAAGUGACGGUACCUACAGAAGAAGGACCGGCCAACACGUG
Molecule: ribosomal RNA, 468 nt
Filed under: uncultured bacterium
Lineage: Bacteria
Description: bacterial SSU rRNA
Rfam family: Bacterial small subunit ribosomal RNA
Source: RNAcentral